RNAcentral lists this ribosomal RNA (465 nucleotides) under uncultured bacterium. RNAcentral describes it as "bacterial SSU rRNA". It matches the Rfam family "Bacterial small subunit ribosomal RNA", at positions 331 to 793 of the family's 1533-position model. The record is from RNAcentral.
CCAGACUCCUACGGGAGGCAGCAGUGAGGAAUAUUGGUCAAUGGGCGAGAGCCUGAACCAGCCAAGUCGCGUGAAGGAUGAAGGAUCUAUGGUUUGUAAACUUCUUUUAUAAAGGAAUAAAGUGAGGCACGUGUGCCUUUUUGUAUGUACUUUAUGAAUAAGGAUCGGCUAACUCCGUGCCAGCAGCCGCGGUAAUACGGAGGAUCCGAGCGUUAUCCGGAUUUAUUGGGUUUAAAGGGAGCGUAGAUGGGUUGUUAAGUCAGUUGUGAAAGUUUGCGGCUCAACCGUAAAAUUGCAAUUGAUACUGGCAGCCUUGAGUACAGUUGAGGUAGGCGGAAUUCGUGGUGUAGCGGUGAAAUGCAUAGAUAUCACGCAGAACUCCGAUUGCGAAGGCAGCAUACCGGCGCCCAACUGACGCUGAAGCACGAAAGCGUGGGUAUCGAACAGGAUUAGAUACCCGCGUAC